AGAGACCAGCUGCACCAAACUUCUUCUCCCUGACUUCUCAGCCAGGAUGGACUUCAGUGGCAAGGUCUGCAUUGGAAACACUGUGAGUAGAUGCAUGUGUCCACUUCAGGAGAGAGAGAAAUAUCACCUGAAUGGCUGGAACCUCUGGAAAAGAAAGAACCUGGCAGCUCUCAUAUUUCUGCAAAACAGAAAAAUGACUUUGAAAGAAAAAAAUGGCAUUUAUAAGAGGCCUGAACACACUCUUAAGAAUUCAAAGAAAAGAAACAUUGUUGCUUCCCACCUGAGUAUUUAAACAAGAUUUGAACCUGAAAAACCAAGAGUGGAAUUGAGAGAGGUCCUUCCAUGGAUCACUGGUUCCAGGAAAGAACAGUUCUCAUGUACAAGAAAGCUUUUCAAAUAAUAUGGAGCUUCUAGGGGUCAACUGAACUGUCUAUGUCUGGGUCUUACAUUUGUAGGGCUUUUAUGAUGUUUGUGUGUGUGUGUGUGUGUGUGUGUGUGUGUGAAAAGGGAAAUAGACAGGGAGAGUCUCCCUAAGUUAACAGUGUCUCUCUGCAUGAAUGAUCCAAGGGUUCGUCAAGGCUGUAUUAUGUAUUUUGUAACUGUAAUGAGGAACAUGUUUUGUAAUGAGGAAAUAUAGUAUAUUAUAUAAUAAAGCAUAUCAUUUGGCCU
RNAcentral lists this long non-coding RNA (669 nucleotides) under Mus musculus (house mouse). RNAcentral's name for it is "predicted gene, 50299". The record is from RNAcentral. Lineage: Eukaryota; Metazoa; Chordata; Mammalia; Rodentia; Muridae.